AGUUCCGUAGUGAAAUUCACGUUAAAUUGCAAAUUUAGAAGUGUAGGGUAGAAUCUACCGGGACUU
RNAcentral lists this transfer RNA (66 nucleotides) under Hypogeophis brevis (Mahe caecilian). RNAcentral describes it as "Grandisonia brevis (Mahe caecilian) tRNA-Cys". It matches the Rfam family "tRNA". Rfam says of the family: Transfer RNA (tRNA) molecules are approximately 80 nucleotides in length. Their secondary structure includes four short double-helical elements and three loops (D, anti-codon, and T loops). The record is from RNAcentral. Lineage: Eukaryota; Metazoa; Chordata; Amphibia; Gymnophiona; Indotyphlidae.